CAAGCCAAAUUAAGGUGAAACCGCGAAAGGCUCAUUAAAUCAGUUAUGGUUCCUUAGAUCGUACCCACAAUUACUUGGAUAACUGUGGUAAUUCUAGAGCUAAUACAUGCAAACAGAGCUCCGACCGGAGACGGGAGGAGUGCUUUUAUUAGAUCAAAACCAAUCGGUGGCGGGUUCGCUCGUCAUCGUACAACUUGGUGACUCUGAAUAACUUUACGCUGAUCGCACGGUCAUCGCACCGGCGACGCAUCUUUCAAAUGUCUGCCUUAUCAACUGUCGAUGGUAGGUUCUGCGCCUACCAUGGUUGUAACGGGUAACGGGGAAUCAGGGUUCGAUUCCGGAGAGGGAGCCUGAGAAACGGCUACCACAUCCAAGGAAGGCAGCAGGCGCGCAAAUUACCCACUCCCGGCACGGGGAGGUAGUGACGAAAAAUAACGAUACGGGACUCAUCCGAGGCCCCGUAAUCGGAAUGAGUACACUCUAAACCCUUUAACGAGGAUCAAUUGGAGGGCAAGUCUGGUGCCAGCAGCCGCGG
This 535-nucleotide ribosomal RNA is filed under the name Trigonopterus inflatus. RNAcentral's name for it is "SSU rRNA". It matches the Rfam family "Eukaryotic small subunit ribosomal RNA", at positions 66 to 579 of the family's 1831-position model. Lineage: Eukaryota; Metazoa; Arthropoda; Insecta; Coleoptera; Curculionidae. The record is from RNAcentral.